AAGCAGUGGAGUAUGUGGUUUAAUUCGACGCAACGCGAAGAACUUACCAGGAUUUGACAUCCUCUGACGACGGUGGAGACAUCGUUUCCUUCGGGGCAGAGAGACAGGUGGUGCAUGGUUGUCGUCAGCUCGUGUCGUGAGAUGUUCGGUUAAGUCCGCUAACGAGCGCAACCCUCGCUGUGUGUUAUAUGUGUCACACAGGACUGCUGGUAUUAAGCCGGAGGAAGUGGGACGACGUCAAGUCAGCAUGACCUUUAUAUCCAGGGCUACACACACGCUACAAUGGUCAGUACAAUGGGUUGCCAAGCCGCGAGGCGGAGCCAAUCCUAAAAAGCUGGCCUCAGUUCAGAUUGCAGUCUGAAACUCGACUGCAUGAAGUCGGAGUUGCUAGUAAACGCAGGUCAGCUAUACUGCGUUGAAUACGUUCCCGGGGCUU
This 436-nucleotide ribosomal RNA is filed under the name uncultured Anaerolineaceae bacterium. Its description in RNAcentral is "bacterial SSU rRNA". It matches the Rfam family "Bacterial small subunit ribosomal RNA", at positions 927 to 1382 of the family's 1533-position model. Lineage: Bacteria; Bacillati; Chloroflexota; Anaerolineae; Anaerolineales; Anaerolineaceae. The record is from RNAcentral.